AGAGUUUGAUCCUGGCUCAGGAUGAACGCUAGCUACAGGCUUAACACAUGCAAGUCGAGGGGCAGCGGUAUCGAAAGCUUGCUUUCGGUAGCCGGCGACCGGCGCACGGGUGAGUAACGCGUAUCGAACCUGCCUCAUACUCGGGAAUAGCCUUGCGAAAGUAAGAUUAAUGCCCGGUGUUUUCAGAGUCCCGCAUGAGGCUUUGAACAAAGAUUUAUCGGUAUGAGAUGGCGAUGCGUCCCAUUAGCUUGUUGGCGGGGUAACGGCCCACCAAGGCAUCGAUGGGUAGGGGUUCUGAGAGGAAGGUCCCCCACAUUGGAACUGAGACACGGUCCAAACUCCUACGGGAGGCAGCAGUGAGGAAUAUUGGUCAAUGGGCGGAAGCCUGAACCAGCCAAGUAGCGUGCAGGAAGACGGCCCUCCGGGUUGUAAACUGCUUUUAGUUGGGAAUAAAACGGGGCUCGUGAGCCCCCUUGCAUGUACCAUCAGAAAAAGGACCGGCUAAUUCCGUGCCAGCAGCCGCGGUAAUACGGAAGGUCCGGGCGUUAUCCGGAUUUAUUGGGUUUAAAGGGAGCGCAGGCGGACCUUUAAGUCAGCUGUGAAAUACGGCGGCUCAACCGUCGAACUGCAGUUGAUACUGGAGGUCUUGAGUGCACACAGGGAUGCUGGAAUUCAUGGUGUAGCGGUGAAAUGCUCAGAUAUCAUGAAGAACUCCGAUUGCGAAGGCAGGCAUCCCGGGGUGCAACUGACGCUGAGGCUCGAAAGUGCGGGUAUCAAACAGGAUUAGAUACCCCUGGUAGUCCGCACAGUAAACGAUGAAUACUCCCCGGUUUGCGAUACAGUGUAAGCCGCCAAGCGAAAGCGUUAAGUAUUCCACCUUGGGGAGUACGCCCGGCAACGGUGAAACUCCAAAGGAAUUGACCGGGGGCCCGCACAACCGGAGGAACAUUGGGGUUUAAUUCCAUGAUACCCCAAGGAACCUUACCCCGGGGUUUGAAUUGCCACCGACGGAAGGCGAGAACCAUCUUUCUUCUGACCGUUGGCGGAAGUGCUUCCAGGGUUGUCGUCAGCUCGUGCCGUGAGGUGUCGGCUUAAGUGCCAUAACGAGCGCAACCCUCAUCCUCGUUUGCCAUCAGGUGAUGCUGGGCACUCCGGGGACACUGCCAUCGUAAGAUGUGAGGAAGGUGGGGAUGACGUCAAAUCAGCACGGCCCUUACGUCCGGGGCUACACACGUGUUACAAUGGGCGGUACAGAGGGCAGCCACUGCGCGAGCAGGAGCCAAUCCUCAAAGCCGUUCUCAGUUCGGACUGGAGUCUGCAACCCGACUCCACGAAGCUGGAUUCGCUAGUAAUCGCGCAUCAGCCAUGGCGCGGUGAAUACGUUCCCGGGCCUUGUACACACCGCCCGUC
RNAcentral lists this ribosomal RNA (1410 nucleotides) under uncultured bacterium. Its description in RNAcentral is "bacterial SSU rRNA". It matches the Rfam family "Bacterial small subunit ribosomal RNA". The record is from RNAcentral.